RNAcentral lists this ribosomal RNA (460 nucleotides) under uncultured bacterium. RNAcentral describes it as "partial 16S ribosomal RNA". It matches the Rfam family "Bacterial small subunit ribosomal RNA", at positions 338 to 795 of the family's 1533-position model. The record is from RNAcentral.
CCUACGGGAUGCAGCAGUGAGGAAUAUUGGUCAAUGGACGAGAGUCUGAACCAGCCAAGUAGCGUGAAGGAUGACUGCCCUAUGGGUUGUAAACUUCUUUUAUACAGGAAUAAAACGAGGCACGUGUGCCUUUUUGCAUGUACUUUAUGAAUAAGGAUCGGCUAACUCCGUGCCAGCAGCCGCGGUAAUACGGAGGAUCCGAGCGUUAUCCGGAUUUAUUGGGUUUAAAGGGAGCGUAGAUGGGUUGUUAAGUCAGUUGUGAAAGUUUGCGGCUCAACCGUAAAAUUGCAAUUGAUACUGGCAGUCUUGAGUACAGUUGAGGUAGGCGGAAUGCGUGGUGUAGCGGUGAAAUGCUUAGAUAUCACGAAGAACCCCGAUUGCGAAGGCAGCUUACUAAACUGUGACUGACAUUGAUGCUCGAAAGUGUGGGUAGCAAACAGGAUUAGAUACCCCUGUAGUC